AGUGAACGCUGGCGGUAGGCCUAACACAUGCAAGUCGAACGGCAGCACAGUAAGAGCUUGCUCUUACGGGUGGCGAGUGGCGGACGGGUGAGGAAUACAUCGGAAUCUACUUUUUCGUGGGGGAUAACGUAGGGAAACUUACGCUAAUACCGCAUACGACCUACGUGUGAAAGCAGGGGAUCUUCGGACCUUGCGCGAUUGAAUGAGCCGAUGUCGGAUUAGCUAGUUGGCGGGGUAAAGGCCCACCAAGGCGACGAUCCGUAGCUGGUCUGAGAGGAUGAUCAGCCACGCUGGAACUGAGACACGGUCCAGACUCCUACGGGAGGCAGCAGUGGGGAAUAUUGGACAAUGGGCGCAAGCCUGAUCCAGCCAUACCGCGUGGGUGAAGAAGGCCUUCGGGUUGUAAAGCCCUUUUGUUGGGAAAGAAAAGCAGCAGGUUAAUACCCCGCUGUUCUGACGGUACCCAAAGAAUAAGCACCGGCUAACUUCGUG
This 492-nucleotide ribosomal RNA is filed under the name uncultured bacterium. RNAcentral's name for it is "partial 16S ribosomal RNA". It matches the Rfam family "Bacterial small subunit ribosomal RNA", at positions 29 to 507 of the family's 1533-position model. The record is from RNAcentral.